This is a non-coding RNA of Prunus avium (sweet cherry), 519 nucleotides long. The record is from RefSeq and is a predicted model, not a curated record. Lineage: Eukaryota; Viridiplantae; Streptophyta; Magnoliopsida; Rosales; Rosaceae.
UCUCUUCUUCCUCCUUUAACUUCUUUCUACCAUAACUUUCAUUCUACAACUCCAAUUCUUGCGCCUUUUUCGCCAUUAGGAUCGUAGGAACGAGCUCUACAAGAAAGCGUGGUUUGGGAGAAUGGUGGUCGCUAGGCAGCUCAUUGAAGGUUGAGGAUUACUUUGGAGCUGUUAAGGUGAAGAAUCUACCUUGGGCUGAACCUACAGAGAACUCAGAGUAAUUUUUGGGUUGAAGUGGAAGUUGGGAAUUUCUGACUCUCUUGGAGCUCUACUGUGACGUUUGGUCUUCACGCCUUGGUUAGAGGUUUUCCUGUGUAUAUGUAUGUGAAUAUUGACGCGUGAGAACUCUGCAUCGUGUUUGGUUGCUAGUAUGCAUGUUAGGGAAAUGGAUUUGAUUAUUUACAGCAUGCCCUUCUUGUGAUACAAUUUAUACUUAAUUUGUGACCUGAGAGUGAAAGGAGCCGUGUGACUACCUUGGGGUUUCGAUCCCCUAAACCUCCGGAAGGGCUUGUACGGAUG